GAUGAACGCUGGCGGCGUGCUUAAUACAUGCAAGUCGAGCGAACGGACGAGCAUCUUGCUUCUCUUAUUUUAGCGGCGGACGGGUGAGUAACACGUGGAUAACCUACCUAUUACACUGGGAUAACUUCGGGAAACCGGAGCUAAUACCGGAUAAUAUUUUGAACCGCAUGGUUCAAAUGUAAAAGACGGUCUUGCUGUCACUUAUAGAUUGAUCCGCUCUGCAUUUGCUAGUUGGUAAGGUAACGGCUUACCAAGGCAACGAUGCAUAGCCGACCUGAGAGGGUGAUCGGCCACACUGGAACUGAGACACGGUCCAGACUCCUACGGGAGGCAGCAGUAGGGAAUCUUCCGCAAUGGGCGAAAGCCUGACGGAGCAACGCCGCGUGAGUGAUGAAGGUCUUCGGAUCGUAAAACUCUGUUAUUAGGGAAGAACAUAUGUGUAAGUAACUGUGCACAUCUUGACGGUACCUAAUCAGAAAGCAACGGCUAACUACGUG
This 497-nucleotide ribosomal RNA is filed under the name uncultured bacterium. RNAcentral's name for it is "partial 16S ribosomal RNA". It matches the Rfam family "Bacterial small subunit ribosomal RNA", at positions 28 to 507 of the family's 1533-position model. The record is from RNAcentral.